ACAUACUCCCACACAAGGAUCCAUUGAACAACUUGAAUUGUCUCAGCUAUUUUAAGGAUAAACAUUUCUUCAGGAGUGCUCAUGAAACCUACAAUUGCUGAAGUUUUCAAACCAAUAAAUAUCACCUUCUUCAGUCCAUUACAGGGGGUAAUUUCUUUGCUACUUGCACAGAUAUAAGUUAGGAGGAAUAAUUUAAAAACAAUGUCAGAAAACUAGGGAAGUAUAGUAGGAACUUGGCUCAGGAGUGUGUUAAAAACCGUGUUCAUUCCUGGAAGGAAUGUUAGAUGAAAAAAUAUUAAUCAGUUACUAAUGAUACAAGUAACCUUUAAAAUGAAGGGAUCACCUUUCUCUGUGUUUCUUAUGUUUUUUGGGUUUUUUUCACACUACUUAAGCACAAACAAUAUUUAUCUAAAUCAGACAAGAUGCUAAAAGAAUUCUAAUGGAUAAUACAGUGAGAAUUUAGUAAAUAAUGAUUAUGUAGAGACCAAUUUCUGGAAGUGCCUUGCUCCCUUAGGCUUAUUCCUACUUUAAAAAAUAAUUCAGGGGCGAUUUAGGCUUUUGGGAGCCUUGCAUCUCUAAUAAUUCGUGGGAGUAAGGCUCCUCCAUCUCUGAAAGAGCUACCUAAUGUAAUUUGCUUGGAUGCAAAAAGCAGUAUAGUAGGUUUUCAUGGCAGUUUGCCUGGACUAAUAUAGCAACUUCUAGAUGUUAAUUAGUCACAGUGGAGCUCCACAAUACAGCCUGUUUGUUAAGCACGUGUUCAGGUAUCUUCAUGCUGCACGGCUUUAUGGCACAUAGGUAUAAACCUGGGUGCUUCUAAAUUUGUAAUUUCUUGCCUGAGAGAAAACUGAUGUAGAAAUACUCAGAUGCAGAUUCCAUGUUUUGUAGCUGCCUGCUGAUUUCCAGAUCAGGUACUCUCAGUCAGGACCAAACCUUCCCUGCAACACCUCACUCCAUCAGCAGGGAACUUUUGACAGGACUGGGUGUGAGAUGAAACACUUUUUAGCUCUUGCCAUGCCAUGCUGUUAAAAUGAGAGUCAUAAACCCCAAUUCUGUCCUACAUUGCUCUAUUGAUGUUGCAGAACUAACUUAUAUGAAGCAUAAUUUAAACAUAUUUAGAGGAAAGGUUGCCUUGAGUAAAUGAAUCCCAGCAGAAGCUGUAGGAAGAACCCUCCAUAAAUCUUUUCUAUGUAUCUUAUAACUUGAGGAAUACCUGUAGGCUUCCUUCAGGGCUGUGCUCAGCAUCAAUUGGGUAGCAGAGCUGCAGAUACUGUGGGAAGCUGUUGAAAUCAGGCUGCAUCCCGUUUUAUUCCAGUUCAGCUCCAUUUGGGGUGGUUCAGUUAGGAGUUCAGCUUCUCCACUGUAGUUAUGGUUAAAUACAAACUCAGAGAAGCAAAAAGUGACCCACAUUUUUCACUCCUUUUUUCAGCUUUCAAAGGCCUCAUCUGUUGCCUUUCCCUGUUCAUUAAGCUAGGAAUAAUAACGGGUGUAAUGCUUAAAAAGACAAUAUUUUGAGAAAGAGAGGGCAAUUUCUAUUUGGCCCUUUGUCUUGUGUAAUUCCACGUUUCUCUUCUCUGUGUGUGUAGCUCUGGUGAAAGGUGCCAGACUGACAUGCUUGGGGAAUGAAUAACUCUUUUUAUGCACAGUUGGUGUCUGAGUACAUCAGAGGUUUUGGGUUAGCAAAUCUCCUUAAUCCUAAGAAGUAAAUCACUAAAAGAUGUUGUUGGUAAAUAUUAAUUAUUUUUCCUGAGAUGGAACUCAAAAUCAGAGAGGAAGGAGAUAAAGAAAUAUGGACAUGCCUGAUAAUUCUGAACAUAUCACCAGGAAAGGCCUCUCUGCCAGGUUGAUAAGGGAGUGUCCUGAUAUCUCAUCUUGUUUUGAAUAUGCCUACCAAUUUCCUAUCACAUGUCACAGCCUCCAACCACUCUGCAGCUAAGCCAUGCAGUACAAACACAAAACUGCAAAAACUUAGCCUUUAGCUCCUUGGUGGUGCAUUUCUUUUGAAGACAAAACAACUGUGACAGUUUUUCUUAAAAUGUGAAUUUUCUACUCAUGAAAAACAGCAGUUCAGAUUUCUAAAAAUAACUGUCAUCUUUGCAUGCCAGAGCUGAGAGGUCUAAAGGAAUGAGCCAAUUAAUUGACUAGGGAACUUAAAAAUGGAAACCUGUCAGAUGGAUGUGUCUGGACCAUAGAUCAGGAGGAAAGGAAGAUGGAGAGCAAUGUGUAUGCUGGUAUUUCUAACCAAUCAUGCGACUUGGGGUUGGCACUCUGAACCAGGUGAUACUAAUGGGGAAGGAGAUAUUGCUCCCCAUCCUCUCUCCUUUCCCAGUCUUAACUGACUCAUUGCUUUGGAAAUUCUUGGCUAACAUAUUCAUUCAUUUCUCACAGAAACUAAGUGUUGCAGCUAGAAAUAAAACAGAAGAUGGCUAGUAGUGACAUAUCUAUGGAGAAUUCAUAAUGCAUGAUUUCAAGUCUCAGAAACUUCAGAAAAGUUAUAAUUUAUUCCUUUUCCUGCUCUGCAAUAUGUUUAAUACUUCUGGUAUAAAAACCUACAUGAUCCAACUGCUCAUGUUAACAGCACUAUUGAGAAAUGUUUAGUGGUUAUGAACUCUUUCACCCCAGCAUGCACAAUACCCAGGGCACUGGGACCAGCUGCACACAUGAUAGAGGAAGAAUGGGCCGCCCUCAACACAGCAGGGAGUAUGAAGACUGAUUUGUUUGGUGCCUAUGCCCUUGACAUUCUCCCUGUGCAGCUCGCACAGCUUCUAGCUCCAUCCUGAUUCCUCUACAGGUUGGAACAGGUAGUGUUAAGUGGCUCUGGCUUCUCUCUCUCCCAGUGCCUAAGAAGCUGAGUUUUACCAUGGUGGUGGUGGAUCUCUGAGUCUCUUGCCUAGCUCUACCAACAUUUUUAAUCAAAUGCUUGUGAAUCUGUCCUUAGACUAGAAUACCACCUGUACUCCAGUAGAAUUAAGCAGCUUUUUAGCAGACAAAUUUAGCAUCUCAUGUAUUAGAUUCAUGUCAUUCUGAGCAGGUGCCAGAACGUUUUUUUCAUGUCAAACACUUGGACAGCUUAAGACUACUUUUGAUGACGAUUCAUUGUCUUUCAGCCCAGGAAAUCCCCAGCACAACAAUUUCUCCUUGCAAAACUGACUUUUUAAGAGACGCUUUUUACAAAUCGCAUCUACCCUAGGUAGGUAGCUUUGAUAUCACCUCCAAAACAAAUUCCUCAUCAACCCCAAAUAUUUUGAAUGCAAAAAUUCUUUAUGGCAGUCUUGAUUGAUGGUGUCUGAAUGCAGGUACCCUUCUUCUCUAUGUCCUCUUUACGUUCAGGUGACUGCAUUGCUGACCUCAGCUCCCAUAAUGCACAAUUCUCAAGAAAAUGGGUUUAUGAUCUCUCACAGGAGUAAGUUUGCUCUAAAGAGAUUUUUUGCAGAGGAGAAAUGUACCAAGAAGAAUUAAGGAGUCACUUCCCAAAAGACACUACAGGAAUAUUUCUGACAAGACCUUUUCUCUUUUCACUUGAUGAAAGUAUUUUUAAUUUUGGGGGUAGACCCAUUUCUGAUACCCAGCCAGCAUAUUUGUGGAUGCUUUUCAUAUUAAUUAUUCAGUUUUCCUGUGCAUCCUUCUUGCCAACAAAACUCUUAGGUUAGAGACAGAUAUCUGAAUACUUUGCAAGGACAGUCUGCACUGACAGCACAGAGAGCAGGAUGGAGUCAGCCAACUCAACCAGCUGCCAUAGUGCUGAGCUGUCCACAAACACAGAAGCAUUCCAGAGAUGGAGUUAUGACUGCAAGAGUCUCACAGUCAGCUUAUAAUUUGGUUUAGAAGAGUAAUGUGUCUGAUGCCAUAUGGUGGAGCUAAUCUUGUUUAUCACUGCUUCACUGCCCCAUCCGUUUGGAUCCUAGUAGGAAUCAUCACACAAAAACCUACUGCUGAGACCUUCUGCAGAGACAGAGACAGGUGUGAGUGGUCUGGGGAGGUCUCAGGAGAGUGCAGUUGGAGACUGAACAGAGAGAAGAAAGCUCAUCCUUUCUGAAUUGCACCAAAACACCCAGCAUGAGAUAGAUAAAUAGCUCAAAUUUGAGAGAGACUUCUAGUGGACCUAAUAAACGUUUUUUUUUCAUUUUACCUCCAGAUUUCUAGAUUUUAGGAGGAAUAAUUUAUUAAUUAUUAAAGGUUUGUCUGUAAUGCAUUUUUUUUACAAAUUCUUAUGUACUGAUGCAUAUUGAGUCCAGUCUAAUUCCUUAAUGAUUACAGCUUUCCUAUUCAUGUCUGUCAGGUUAAUUCACAAUGCAGUGAUGUUACCUCAUCUCACCAAUAACCUGCCUUUGCAAUAGUUAAUGUUAUUUCACUGCCCACCUUGGGCAUCUCUGCUGAAUUUGAUGCUCACCUCAGUUAUCAGCAACAGAAGAUUAGCCACUGACCACCGACAUUGCCUGUGAAAGGUCCGUGCCUUGAUGUAUCGCUUGGCAAAGUAAAUCUAGACUGAGUGUGGAAACAAAAGAUCUUUUUGUGGGCCUUGACAAGUCUUUGAACACACUCAAAAGGGCCAAAUGGCUUUUUGAUACAGUCUUGAGCUGGCAGCAGAGUUUCACCCUCUACAAUUUUGCUAUCACCUUUUUAUUCUCAUGUAUUUCAAGAGGUGCAGGAUGCUCCCAGUGUGUGUUUGUCUCUGACUCCACUGAGAGCAGGCACUUGCCCUGCGUGGUUCAGCAGUCAUUGGAAGAGCCUGCCAGGGUACCUGCCAGCAGAGGGAUGCCAGCUCCUUAAUUCCAUCAGGAACUGGUGUAUGCAGCAGCUAAUUUACUGCUUGAACACCUUGAUUCUGAUGGGUGAACUUGUAUAAAACCUUUCUUUUCACACUCCACUGUGAGUCAUGUUAGGAAGACUGCAGGGUGCCAGCUUUCUAGUGUCUGUGAGAAGCAGAGCAGUGCUCACACUUCCCAAAGCAUUAGUCAUUCAAAUCCACCCUCAGUCUUUCUCAUGUCACACAUUUUAUUUGUGCAUGAGCAGGUAAGCUCAGAAUAAGUUAAAAUCUCUUCUUGGAAAGAAGGAGUCAUGGAAGACAAGUCUGCACAAGGUUUAAAAUAAAAAUCCUGCAGCUCCACUGUUGUGUGUUUCACUUCUACCUGUGGUACCUGUAAAGCUAUCAGGUUGGAAGAAACAGAAAAAAAAAACUAUUUGCAUGCUUUUGAGAAGCUUUCCUUCUCAUUCUUCUAUUAUAAAGAAGAGAUCAUCCCAAUAUUUGAGAGACAAGAGGAUAAAGUUCAACCAUGCAAACCCAUCCUCCUCUUUUUGGCCUUCUUGACACCCACUUGGAUUUCACUCCUGAAGCUUAGUUACAGGCUGUGUAAUCAGUGCACAGAACACACUGCAAAGAGAGCCUGGAUAGCUGCUCCUGUCCUGUGCCAGGACAGGGUGAAGGUAUGGUAAGGAAUAAGAAACCUAAGAAAAACAAAGUUGGAUGAGGAGGACAUUUUGUUUCUCAUGCCUACAAACAGUGGAUCUCAUGUUAAAUCCCAAGAGUGAAAACACAGCAACAAGUUUAGGUCUGUGGUGAAGCCCAAGAAUGGGCAAUGCCAUUAAACCUGACUGCUUUUGGGUCUGAUUCUGCAGGUUUUACAUAUGUGUACAUAUACAUGAGCACAUGUCUAUCACCUGAAGGCAGUCAACAUAGUAAUAGAUGUGCAAAGACCUGAAGGGAUAUAUCUCAUUCACAUUGUUUGGAGUUAGACUGUUAAGGAACAAGGGUCAAAUAUCUGCAUAAUCCCCAAUCCCAGCACCAGGAUAAGCAGAAGCAGUAAUGUUUUCUCUCUCAGCACAGAAAUGCACAGAAAAUAAAAGGACUGGCAGUACCUUGCCAGAACAAGUGCUUUGCUGCUCAGACUAGUUUUUGGAAGAAAACAAAUUCUAGAAAAAGAAGAUUAAUUUCCUCCAAAAUUAUCUUUUCUUUCCAUAUACACACUGACAAGAAGCAUCCUGUGAACAGUAUACUCCAAACACAUCAGUAAAAUGAGGAACAGAAGAGUAACAUCCAUUAUUUGGAAAGAGCAAAAGGUGAAGGAGAAAUUGUAUCUUCAGCUUUCCCAAAUUCCUAUCAAAGUGUGAGGAGGACAAACAAAGAAAAAACUCUUCUGCAAUUUCUUCCCUCUCCCUCUCUGCAGCAUUGGCAUCACAGAAAGCAAGCAGCUAUGAUGUCUCAUAGACCCAAGAUUAUGUUGUAUUCUGAACCUCCACCUUCCCACCUCUGGAAACUUUGUUGUGCUGGCUUUGCCCAUUCUGACACUGAGUGUUUUCCCUGAGACAUCAGUGUCUAUGAAUUUGAAUGAAUGAAUGAAAUUUUGCCCUCAUUUUCUCAGAGACGUGCAUUUGAGAGACAUUUAUUGGACAAAGGAGCAGGUAGGAGCCAAAAGAUGCAGCACCAGCCCAUCAUCCUUCCCCAGCUGACAGCAGAGUGGUUGGGUGGUGGGAAGAGGCAGCUCCCUGCAGACCAUGCUGACUGCCAGUUAUCCUUGCUCUUGCUCCAUUACUCUCCCAGCUCCAGCCUGCACUGAGCUGUCUCUCACCAGAAAGGAACUAUUUUCCUUGACCUCAGUGAUAAACAAAAUGCCACAUUGCUUUUUUGUUUUUCAAAUAACACAAAAGAAAUGUGACAAGGCGGCUUAAAACUUUGUCAAAAAUCUUGUUUUCUGUGAUUAGACUUGAGUGCAGAGGAUCAUUGUAAUUUUGGGAAAAUUUAGGCUUAUUUAGCUUUACCAACCAUAGCUCUUUUAUGACCAGGAGCACCCUCAGAAAGUUUCUCCUUAAUACCGUCUCUCACUGAGGACUUUGAACAGUGAAAUUAUUUGAUAGUUGUCAAAGAUAGUUUUUGUGGGUCAGAUGCUAUAUAGCUCAUUGUCUAAGCCAUAUCUCCAAGUUUAGAUUAACUCUUGGCUCAUAAGGAUUUCCUCACAGAAGUAAGCUAAAGAGUAUUGCAUUAAAGAGAAAAAGGCUGAAAUAAUAAGCUAAAAAGAAAUGCAUAGAAAUGGUGUAGAACUUCUCUUGUGGGACCUGUAUUUUUUUUUUCUAAAAUACAUAAACAAAGGAGAAAAAUAGUUCUGGCUAAAAUAAUUUUGAAAAGCUCACUCCUACAAGUCCAAAUGAAAGAAAACUUUAAUCUCUAGAUUCAACCUCCAUUAUCUGACAGAUAAUGGAACUAUCUGCAGGAAAUGAAAAACCUGAUGAAGAUUAAAUGUGGGAUUCACCUAAUAUAACUUCAUCUCCUUGAAAUUCAGGUGACUAAAUUAAAGCCCUCCUCUUGGCUCUCUAUACUGAGUACAGAGUGGGAGAAAUACCUCCAAAGAUAAAUUAAUAUUCUGUCUUCUAGUCAUCUGUCUUACACAGGUAUAAGUUGCCUUCAAGAGGGAUGUCCAUCUCUGCUGACUACUGAAAAAAUCCUGACAGGCUUGGUAGAAAAGUCUUGACUAUGAAAGGCCAAGUAUGCUCAGUCCCAUGGGUCAGAGAGUGAAUUGGUCGUGCCCAGGGAGAAUGGAAGGUUUGUUUUGACUUGGAGAAUAGCCUAGGACAAGGCUUAAUACUGAUAUCAAGGCAUCAGAUACAAAACACAAAUAAAUUUGUGUCCUUUCUCUGCUACUGCCAUAAAAUAUGGCAUUUUUUGCUAUUAAAAAUGCAGUGGUGUUGUCUUCAAAAAUAGUUGUCUUUAUGAAAACAUAAAGAGAAGUUCUAAAUGCAAGUACAUGGAUACUGAGGGGUUUUCUUUCCCCUUAAUUCACUGAGUUAAUUUUUUACUGUGAGUGGCAAAGCAAAACUCCUCUGUAGAAACAUUCACUCCCCCAAUGUGUUAUGGAUUUCCAGUGGUGAACUAUUAGGUGUUUUUGCAAUUAACACAGCAUGAAAGAACCAUCACUUCUAUGGAUCUCUGAGUUCACACUUUCUUCUAAUGAGAGCCAAGAUAAAUUGUUCCAGUUUCAGUGUAUUGGCUACCAAAUUGACCCUGAUCCAUAGCUCACUUCAGGCUUUGGUAAUUCCAAUAAUCUUGCAGUAUGUUUGGAUCCACCAAUUGAAAAUGUCUAAAAUUCAGUCAUGCUACUCUAGAAGAUAAAGCUGGAAUAAAACCAGAUAUAUUCUGCUCAGGUUUAAUUUUUUUUUCUUCUCUUCCUGUGAAAUAUAACACCACUUCCACAUCCAUCUACACUGGUAUUUUUCCCAGAGAUGAAAUACUGGAGAACCUGACCUAGUGCCUUAAGGCAAUUCCUUAGUGAUGGAACUAUCUUUAUUAACAGAUGACAUAAUUUCUCUUCUCAGAGUGUAAAAUGCAGAGUAAAGAGAGGUGAAGGGACAGAGGCAACUCUCUUUAUGCCCUCACCACAUUUAACAAACCUUGUCCAUAGAGGAGUCUGACAGUGCACUUUCUAUUCUGGUUCCAUUUGUAUAUAUCCUUCAGAAGAGGCAGCACAUGAAUAACACUGCUGAUUGUUGAUGUCUGUGUUCAAGGUGAAUGUUAAAAAAGAAUGGAUAUUUCUCUGCAAAUCAGCUCUUCCCAAAACUCACCUCAGUGACUGCACACUGUAAAAUGAUUGUGCUCAUGAUGGGUAUGUAGCACGACGUGUGGUAUUCCUGGGUCAGAAAUCUUCUUAAUAGCUAUGGGAGAGGGCUCUGGGAAAUAUUGAGACUAUGGGUCAUGAGUUUCACAGGUCCUGUAGAGAAUCUGGUUAAAGUUAGGUUCUGAAAUAGUGACUGUGAAUAAAAACCCAAAAGGUGAUUCUACCUGAGUUCCUAAUCCUGAGGAAUGAGCAGGUAUGAACUGAGUGCCACCCACGUGGCAGGAGCGGUGAGCAAUGAUUGACACAAUGGUCUGUUUGUGCUCUCCCAGCUAUCCUAGGAGUAAUUCCAUAUAAUGAGAUCCAUAGCACUGGUGAGGUGCUGGAGGUCAGUUUGUACAUGAGCCCUGUCCUGUGUGAAUGGCAUGGACGUGCUACACCAGUGGGUUCUGGUCACAUCAGGGAAAGAGUCAUCAAAAUGUUGGAGGAUGGGAAUGGCAGAUCAGUCCAUCACUGGUCUCUAGUAUCUGAUGUUUGAUAUGUUUCCUUUUAGAGCCACGUAAAAGUGCUCAGAGCACCCUUGUUCCUCCUGGAGGUCAGGCCUGGCUGCCAAGGCUCAGAGUCCCUCGUGCUCCAAGGGGAUCAGGAAAAGCCCACAGCAGCCUUUGAGGAGGUUACCAUGAGCAGACCCAUCCCACCUCUCCUUUAUCUCCCACCUGUGCCACAGACCUAGCCACAUCACAGUAAAAUAUUGGGCUGUAACAGGAAACAAUUAAUGAAGAGCUGUCAGAAGAGAUAUAUAACAGACAGACAGUAUUGUAAAAUUACAUACCUAGCCUUUUUUUUUUUUUUUUUGUAGUCAGAUUCUUCCAUAUGUUGCCAGCCUGAGGCAUUUUUAUAGGAACUUUACCCAAACCAGGGACUGAUAUUUUAAAAUUUCAAUCUUGCUUGAGACACACCCCUCCUCUCAUCUCCCCUCCCCCAAGUUUAUGCUGUGUAUUUUCCUUUGUCUUGCUGUUUUAAAGUUACAUUCUUUGGCUCUUGAGACACUCAUGUAUUCUCUGCCUGGGGUGCACACAUGGAGCAAAGGGGCUGGAGACAAGAGCCUGAUUUGGGAUGUAGCAUCCCAUUCUCCUCUUCAACCUCCAUCUUGCACUCAAAGAAAAAUGAGAUCGUUGUGGCAAUAACCUGAUUCCCACCAGUGCAGCAGAAAUCACUUGCUUCUCUCAUCUCUAUGAACUGCAAUAUCAUAAAAUAUCUUCCCACAUAUUCAGGUAUCACUCUUGGAGGACACAAGGCAGGAUUCCUUUGCAGAAGGAACUUAAUGGGUAGGAAGAAUACCGACUUAAUGUGUAGCUUCCCAUUGAUUUACAGUGGUAUCUUAUUUCUCUCAGGAUGUUUUGUCUCUAAAGCAAUUUGAAAAAUCUCUAUUCAUGCUAAUUUUGAUAUCUACUUUAUGUUCUAACACACCAAGAAGAGUUUGUCAUUUGUGUCACUGGGAGCUGGCCAGCAGCUGGCAACUUUGCACAAUUGACCUCCAACAGAAAGGAAGCCAAAUUCAGCUGAAGUUUGAAUAGCAUUUAUUGGAGCAUAAGAAGUAAGCAAGUUUUUUCCUUCAACAUGCUUGUUUAAUAAAAAAAAAAAAAAAUAGUUAAGGGUGACAAUAUUUCAUACACGUCUUUAGAAAAAGGGUAAACGUAUCAGAGCCCAUGAUCUCACGUAUCAUAAAUCUUCUAAAAGCAAACCUGGGAAGGAUUUUAAUUAGCCUCUUAAUUGCACACCCUGCACUGAAAAAGGCAAGUAAUAUGUACUGAGGCCACCUCUAACAGAUAUUUGAUUUAUAAUCUCAGAGUAAACCAAUUCUGCAGCCCGUCUAGGCAACUUGUAGUGCUUCCUUAUACUUAGUUAGGAAACUUUCCCUAGUAUCUAACCUAAAUCUUUGUUUCUGCAAAUUAAGACAAUUACUUCUUGUUUGACCACUAUUGAACUGUCUGAACAAUUGAUCAUUCUUCUGUGGUGUUACUAUAAAACUGAAACAAAACUACUGGAAAAGUAGAAUCAUAUCUUUGUUUAAACUUUUUUAGAUUAAAUAAAUCCAUUUUUUUUAGUAUGUGGUACUAAAACUCUUAUUGUUUUCCAAUCACCUUUAGACUUUCUGUAGAUUAUCUAUUAUCUCGAUCUUUGUCAGACUCUUGCAGAUUAAAUGUCCCAAUGUUUAUUUUAUAGUCAAGUCUUUAAUAACACCUCACAUGGCAAUAUGCCUUAUUUAAAACCAUACAAAAUUUUCCUCCUUAAUAUGUAUGUGAUUUGCUGUAUUCUUUCAGAUAUUAUAUUGGUUUUUGGCUGAAGCUUUUUUAUUUUUAACUCAGUGCCGGAUUUCCUUAUUUCAAAUGGAGCAUCCUUCAUGCUUUUGUUAAAUUUCAUUUGCUGAUUUCAAACCAAACCUCCAGUCUACUCAGAUCACUUUGUAUUUUGUCAUCUGAAAGUACUAUUUCACAGAUGAAAUGCCUUCACAUACUGCUGUGAAGCACCACUGACCUGAAUAAGUCUUCAUUUCAAGGGCUUUUUUAUUGAGAUUCUGGAUGAGGUCCAGGUAUGAAGUCAUUACAUGGUCAAUUAUUUUCCAGUCUGCCACAGUAGUGUUUCAAGCACAUGUGCUGGUACGUUAUGUGUGUGGGAAAUAACAUGAAGAGGAAGAACUUUAAAAUACCAAAACUGACAUUUCUGCUUUUCCAUAAUUCUUUAGAAGAGUUUUUAUAUUUCCAUUUUUAUUGAUAUAUAUAAAAAUGAAUGUGUACACCUAACAUUGAUUUGCCCACACACUGUCUGUUUAGGGUUUUGCAUGUUUCUGACAUUAAACAAUCCUUCUCUUCUACUUUUUGGUUUUGAUAGGCUGCCUCAGGGGUCUCUUGCACAUAAAUAAUAUUUUUUCAUAUGGUCUUUUUUCUUCUCCCUGCAAUUAUCUCUUUAGACUAAUGAGUACUUGAAAGUGAAUUGUAUUUGAAACCAAUGGAGGUCAAUAGAGGUGACUAAGUAUUAUGCUAAUUUAGGUUUUGGCUCCUAUUAUAUAUUGUCCAGGUCCAUUCAGGUUUAAGAGUAAAGAACAGAAGCUUUUGUGUUUCAAUGUUUACAUGAGUUUUCCCCUUUUGCUGAAGUAUAAUGGUUGAUAUUUGCAUUUAAUUAAGGUUUGACUCAAAGGGAUACUGGAGUUGGCUUCAUUAGUCUUGAAAGAUGUCCUUGACACAAAUAAAUAUUAGCAUCCUGGCUAAGGGAAAAACCAAAGAAAAUAACAGUGAUUAAUUGAAAAAAAAAAAAAAAGAGAAAAGAAGACAGAAAUAUCUUUCACACAUCACAGGGCUUUCUCCAGAUUUAUCACAAAAAUGAAAAGCACUUUGAAGAUGGGAAAUUGCAAAUGCAGAAACUGUGUCUUCGUAUCUCCAAUACGUGUAGCCACAUGCUUCAAAUGAAUGUGACUGAUAGAAGUGUUACCAGAAAACUGCAGCCAAGAAUCAAAAAGCGACUGCUGGAUUUUAAAAUGUGUGAUUCAUUUUCAUGCCAUUAAGAUGAGAAAUGUAUUUUUUCCCCUUCUCUCUCUGGUUUUUGAACCAUUCCUUCUCCUCCUUUCUCUAGAGGCACACUGAACCUUUGGUGUGUUAUAUUGUGCUCAGACAUCUGACUAGGAGAGGAAAACAAUGUAUUUUCUUUCUUUAAAUGCCAAAAUGUCAUAAAUUUCCACCUCCACGUAUUGUCUCCACCUCUGAAGAUGCUAGGGGAGGUUUCCUUCUGAAUGUUUUUCUAGAUCUGUGCAAAAAUGACUGAUUUAAAAGCAGUGAGAUAUACUUUGGUAAUGGAAGACAGACAGUUUUCAGAACUUUGACAGUUACAAGUUUGGCAGACAGUUUUGCCUUCUAAAAGAUCCUGAUUUUCAGAAAAUUCUAUAUUGCAAUAAAUAAAUUCACUUCCAGGCAGCUCCUAUUAAACAUCAAAACUGAAGCAUGUAAAAUCUGAAGCUGCAUUCACAAUCCUCACUUAGAUACAAGAUCUCAGUCAUAAUCCAUCUUGGUUGCCAAGGUCUUAAGACCCAUAGUACAUCUGAUAAAAUUUUCUGUUCAUGGGACAAAUUUCCAUUGAUGCUGUUGUUGGUUUCCCAUCAGCUGACCCGUUUUCCCAAGGAAUUAAUCAACAGGAUGAAAGUCAGAAUAAGCUUCUUGGCAUCCUUGUAUGAGGUAAAUAAGUGUCAAAUUGAAACUACGUAAAAAUUAGUAUUUAAUUUAAUUGAGAUUAAUAAAAUAAUACAAAAUAUUUUAUCAGUACAGUUUUUAUUAUUUAUUUUACUAUGUUUAUUAUAUUUUAUAAUUUUAUGUAUAAUUUUAAUUAUGUUUUUAUUUAUUCAUAAUUGUUUGAUGCUAGCAACAGAUCCCAAGUUUGUGUCAGAGUGAGUACCUAAUAUUUAGAAAUCCUUAGAGAGAAAAUAUAAUAACAACAACUGACUAAUUUAUUUGCUAUGAAGUAGAAGACAUUACAUUAAUCUUUACUGGACUUUAAAAAGAUAGUCUUUGUUCUUGUAAGCAACCUGAGCAAUCAAAGAAUGAAAUGUAAAAGUUCUGAGUAGAAAGCUGCAGUCACUACUCAGCAAUGCAAAGUAGAAUGACACAUGCAAAUUAAAGUGCAUGCGGUAUUUUUCAAGCUCUAAAUCAAAUUUGUUGGGAUAAAAUGGUGAUAAAAAAAACUUCAGACAUGUUCAAAUCCCAUUUUCUGAAUUGAUUUGAGAAUCACGAGGCUUGAAUCUCAUUUUAGAUCAUUGAAACUUGAGAAAUUGAGGGUCAAAAUCCAAAUGCCAUCCCCUGUACUUCCUAACACCUAGAAAUGACAAAUCCAGGCUUACCUGUGAUGUUUCACAACGACUCAGAUCACCUUUACUGCCUCUUUCAUGUCACUGCAGAGAGUCUGUACCCUUGGUGAGAGUCUUUGUUAAGGGGACAGCUGAUGGAUAUGAAUGGAAAGACAGCUGACACAAACCAGCAUGUCAGGUAAGGCUGGUGUUGUUUUGCUACCCUUCAAAAGAGGAGAAAAUUUUCACAUUUCUAGAUGGUGCAGCAACAGUGCUGGAACUUGGAGGUUUGAAGUACUCAAAACUUAUUUUUACAAUGGAUAUUUGCUGAAUUUCCAUGAAUGUUAAAACUCUUCUUUGAAUCUCCAGAAUCUUGAGGAAGAUUUUCCAUUGAGCACAUGUUUCUGUCUGUUGGUUUUAUUUUAAGAACACAGCAGUGGAGGGGAUUGAGUAAAAUGAAGAUGCAAAGACAAGCAAGAAACAAGGAACAAAUCACAGCAGCAAAUCUUGGAGGAGUGUCUGAGAAAAAGUAUAAUCCACAAAGUGGCAGCAUUAAUGCAUCAAGAGUGGAAAGGAACCUGAGACAAAUACCUUGGACGGUGGGAGGUGUCUGGAAGCCCUUGUGAAUGAUGGUAGACAGCAUAUGGUGUGUGGGUGUCCACUGUGAUCUGUUUCCCCCCAGCAGCACAUGAACGGUACCCAGUCUCAAAGUCAUAUUUCCUCUUAGUCAUAGUUCUACCUGCUCUUCAUUUUUAUCCUUCAUGCCCUCCUGAAAUGAUACAUUUGAAAUGGUUUCUGGUCUGUUCUAAGCAUUUAAUUCCUGGAAAGAUAUCAACACACCAGAGAGACUUUUAAGAGGAGUGAGAAAGAAAAGCUGUGGAGGUGAUUCAUAGUAACAAUGGUAAUUGUCAUAACAGUGAUUGCUGCCCAUUGCCUAGCAGCAAUUUCAACAUGUGUCCUCACCAGUAUCUAUUUUUAAGAGGACAUUCUUCAUUGUGUAACAGUAUGUUUGUGUAUUUAGCAAGAUAUAGAAAGGAGAAAGGGGAAUGGCUGGAGGUCCUGAUAAAGCUUAGAAAAGGUAGAGAAGAGGGGAGGAGAUAAAAUGUUUUAAAUGCAUGUGUUCAAGAAUUGUCAAAAAUAAAAAAAAUGUGGAAGAAAUAUUAAUAUUAUUUAUUAAAUCCCUUCAAUUUUAAAUGUGGAAAUGGUGGAUGAAAAAUUACAGCCAGAUUAAUGAAAGUCAGAUGGGUAGAAUAAACCCUGAACUACAAUUCUGCAACAGCAGAAUUUUCAGGUCUUGCUCUCUCACUCUUACAUCCUUCAGGACAAAAAAUCUGACAGACAUUUAUCCUGGUGUCACUGAGAUCACAUUUUGAGAACAAUGGUAGAAUUGAAAAGGAGAUUAGGUCACAGUUUGGCUAACACAAUCUCUGUUGUCACUGGUGUUGUGUCAGUAAGAAAGACCCCCUGUCAGAAAUCAAAGUGGCUCUGAGUGAGUGGCUGUGGGGGAAAACUUGUUUUCCAUUUGUAUGAUGAGAAAAUCAAACCUGAGAGUGAGAGAAGCAUAAUAAGUACAGGAGAGCAAAUAAAAACCCCUCAUUUUUUUGUAGAUUCACUGUUUACAGUGGGCACUAAAAUCCUGCUAUUAAGAUUUAUAAUUGUUCAAGGCUUUAUUGUUUAGACAUUUAGAAGUCAUUCACUAACUCAUAUGUUUUAAUUUCAGAGUAAUCAAAUACAAACAAAGAAAUCUUCAUAAACUAAGGAGUGCCUAAUCUCAGAACAUUAAAUCACAGCAAGAUAUUUUGAUUUGAGCAUUUACAUCUUGAACAGAUUAUAAAACUCUUAAGAGAUCUGAUGAUAUGGUCUUUACUCCCACCCAAGAGCAGAUUCACAUAGUUACCUUUGUGUUUUUGUACAUAAAGGGUUAUGGUUAUAGAUGAGCGUGUACUAUACUGUAAAAUGUAGCUAACUAACAGAGAUUUAGGGGGAAAAUAAUGAAUUUUUAUGGAUUAAUUAUUACUUCAGGUGAUAUAACUAGUGUAGAAAUAUAGCAAGGAAUUGACUCUAUGCUUCUGAAUUCAUACCUGAAAUUGUCACUAGUUUACUGAAAACACUUAAGUUGUACUUGCAACCACUGAAAGCAGCAGACAGAAUGUUUGCUCUACUGAUAUUUCCAAACUGUGCCUUUACCACCAGUUUUUUCUAAGCCUUUCCUUUAGUAUUUGUUCAAAUCUUGAGAUCAAUGCCUAUCAAAACAGGAAUGACAUUUCUGGGCAAAACUUACUGAAACAAUCAUUUAGCACUGUCAUCAUAUAUUAGAGAGUAAACUUUAAUUUGUCAGGUAGCAAGCCUGCUUAGAAACACAACACAUUGGGUAUGAAAAACAAAUUCAUAUAAAUGAUGCACAUAAACUCAUGACUAUGCAUUGUGUAAGCAAUGUGUGCUUUGUGCCUCUAUAGAGUUUUUACUCCAAAAGAUGCAGCCUGUGUCUUGGCAGGGUGUGUGUAUCAAUGUGUGGAACACUUGAUGUGAAAAACAAUCAGUUGUGACAAUCAGCCAGUCAGCAAUCUUGAACACUUUCCAUCUCUGCUCCAUUUAUGGGCAUCAGUAAAUAAAGCUGUGUUCUUAAAGCUGUGUUUCCAUUUAUUUUUUUCUGCCAGCUAGUGCCAGGCAACUUAGUGGAGCCUUCCAACAUUGCCUCCGUAUGGAAAUAAAUUGAAUCAACAUUGUAUUUUUUUUCCCCCAGAAUAAAAUGUUCCCUCUCUCUUUCAUACUCCUUUUGCUUCAUGAGAAAACAGCUUCAAAAUAAACAAUUAGAGGGCCCUUGUAAACUUUGCUAUCAGUUACUUAGAUUUGUUUUUGUGUUUCUUUUUUAAUAAAUAGUUACAUUAAAGAGAAGAGGGAGAAAAUCUAGUUCUACAUCUGCUGGUCCUCAGUUCAUUCUGAGAAGAAAACUAAUGGUCUCCAAAUAAAUAUUACAGCUGUUGAAACUUUGAGGAGAUGUGAUUCAGUCUGAUCCUUGCAACUUGAAUUUGGAUUUUAAAAUGGUCUAUUUUUUUUCUAAUGUAAAUGAAUACUUGUUUUUUUUUCUGUGUAAUUUUCUUCUUGAUUUACAUCUGGGUUCAAAAAAUACAGUGGAUGACUUUGCCCCUGUGACCUCUCCUUCUUUUCUUUCCAGUUCUUUCAUGAAGAAUGACAUUUUCUGUCCAUAAGGGUGAAUGUUUUCAAAGAAUCUCAACAUCUGUAGAAAAAACAAACAAAACCCCCAAAAUGACAAGAGCAACAACAACAACAACAACAAAACAAACAAACAGCAACAACAAAAAAAACCCCAAGGACUUUGUGGAAAACAUUCUGGGCUGUGGGAGAGAAAUCCUAUAGUUCAUGUCCUUCCUUUCAAAUGCACUUUCAUAUGUGACUUCAGGCAAUUUACUUGAUCUCUCCAGCUCUGAAUGUCCAUGAACUCAGCAAUAUUUUUAAUACAUGGAUACACAGGAACUAGCAGUCUUAUCACUUCUUCUCUACUGUGUUACAGUUUAGAUAAACCUAUCUUUAUAAAAGUUUAAUAGUGUUUAAGACAAAAUGGAUUCUAUACACAAGUUACAUUUAUUGCAAGAAAACAAAUAGAAGAAGAAAAUAUCUAUGAGUUUUCAGCUUAUCUGGACAAAGGCUUUUAUUAGCUGUUUCCUCGGUAUAUUUUUGCAAGAAACCUUUAAAGAUAACUUUGCUUUUGGGAGUAGAGAAUCUUGAAAUAUGACAAAGGCUGCUGAGAAAUCUUAAUACAAAGGCACAAUGUAUCCCAAGAAAGUUUCCAUGAUGUCACUUCAGCUGAAUCUCUGAGGAAAAAUAUACUCUGCAAAGAAAAGCACACCAAGAGAGCAAAGACAAUCAGAUGUAUUAACACACAGAGUUAGCAACAUCAAAGCAGGGAGGUCCCUCUUUGGUUUUGUUGGAUGUGCUUUGGGUUUUUUCCUGAGACCCUGCACUAAGCUCAGUAGCAUUUCUCCUCAAGAGCAAGAGGGAGAGUUUUGCCUUCCUCCACAGUAGCAUUUCUGAAGUAGAUUAGAUGUGUCAUGAGAGAUGAUGCAGGGCAAUUUGUAGAAGGAGAUGAUACAAUCAACAUCCACAAAUAGAAAACAGAAGCAGCCAAUAAAUAUUUCUGUUUCAUAACUGUAAACAGGCAAGAAUAAUGUACUUGCACAACACAAAGAUAAAGUACCUUUCAGUUCACACACCAUCUCCUCAGGAUAAGCAAUGAGGAAUUUGUGUGACCUAGAUGACUUGCACAUCACAGCCCAAACUGGUGAUGAGGACAUUUUGCCAAAUCAUGAGGAGAACUCAGAAGGAGCUCAGAAGGGUUACAACAAUCUGCAAGAUGUAUUCAAAAGGGACAUUCCAUGAAAAUUAUUUGCGUGUUUCUAGGUCAAAGAAAAAUAAUGCAAUUUGAUUACUGAAGAUUAAAAGCUUCAAAUUUAAGUAAUGCCAGUGUACUUUAUGGUUG
Taeniopygia guttata (zebra finch) is the source of this 17866-nucleotide long non-coding RNA. RefSeq lists it as uncharacterized. NCBI's taxonomy places the organism in Eukaryota, Metazoa, Chordata, Aves, Passeriformes, Estrildidae. The record is from RefSeq and is a predicted model, not a curated record.